CGUGUCGUGAGAUGUUGGGUUAAGUCCCGCAACGAGCGCAACCCUCACCCCUUGUUGCCAACGGGUCAUGCCGAGCACUCUAGGGGAACUGCCCCGGUCAACCUGGAGGAAGGCGGGGAUGACGUCAAGUCAUCAUGCCCCUUACGUCCUGGGCUACACACGUGCUACAAUGGCCGGUACAAAGGGAUGCCACACCGCGAGGUAGAGCUAAACCCAAAAAGCCGGUCUAAGUUCAGAUUGGAGUCUGCAACUCGACUCCAUGAAGGAGGAAUCGCUAGUAAUCGC
RNAcentral lists this ribosomal RNA (285 nucleotides) under uncultured Methylomirabilota bacterium. Its description in RNAcentral is "uncultured candidate division NC10 bacterium partial 16S ribosomal RNA". It matches the Rfam family "Bacterial small subunit ribosomal RNA", at positions 1061 to 1345 of the family's 1533-position model. Lineage: Bacteria; Methylomirabilota (SeqCode). The record is from RNAcentral.